Molecule: long non-coding RNA, 286 nt
Filed under: Chinchilla lanigera (long-tailed chinchilla)
Lineage: Eukaryota; Metazoa; Chordata; Mammalia; Rodentia; Chinchillidae
Description: lncRNA (ENSCLAG00000028205.1)
Source: RNAcentral
CUUAAACAAGCAACUGACCUCCUGCAGUCUUGCUGACCAUCUCACUGCAGAUGUUAUGGCAUCUCUAAGUCUGGGAUGAACGAAGGAAGACAAAGCCUCGACUUACGUGCUUAUAAAUCUGUACUACAUCAAUUAUAUAUUAGUUAUAUACAAAGUCUGCUAAAAAAUGUAUACACACUUCAGCAGUUUGCUGUACUAACAGAUAUCUGGAAGAUAAUGGCCACCAUUCUGAGCACCUCUUAUAAUUGUAGAAGCCAAAGGUAACUUGUAUUAAUCUUACAAUGUC